This is a non-coding RNA of Pelobates cultripes (western spadefoot toad), 2947 nucleotides long. Lineage: Eukaryota; Metazoa; Chordata; Amphibia; Anura; Pelobatidae. The record is from the annotation of a GenBank genome assembly.
GGAAAAGAUUAGUCAUACACAUUGCAGCAUGUGGCUUGUUAUAAAUGUUACAGAUGUAACAAAGAAAAAGACAAAGCAGGGGCGUCUCUGUUUAUGGCAAGCAAUGUUUUCUGAGGUCAAACUGUGUCCUAAAUUGGAUCGUUGGCUUCUACCAUUUUACACAAUCCACAUUUUGUUUAAACAUCUAUACAAUUCUGUUUAUAUUUCAUCUUCUAGCUUCUGUUUUUUGAGACACAGCUGUGUCAGAGACAGUAGCUAACUCUAAACAUUUUAUUUUUGCUCCAAACCCAUUUGUUUUUACAUUUUGCUGAUAAAUAUUCAUGUGAUUUGUAUUUGAGUAAUAGCAAUAUUUCAAUUUCAAAGACACAUUUUUUUUAUUUAACUAGGUUAAUAAAUAAGUUGGUGAUCAGGCACUGAAUAUAUUGACCUGGCUUCUAGAUGAGAAUUAGUUGUCCACCCACCUUGGGCAGUAAUAUCUCAUAAUAUGGGCACAGGACAAUAACCCGUUUGAUGUGUCAGAAAAUCAGAAGUGCAGAAAAUCUCUGCUUUGUUUAGAUUUAAGGAUUCAUUUGAUCCUCAGGACUGCAGAAAACAGAAUAAUCUAAGUUGUUUACAUUUUUUACAGGCCUUUACUGCAAUGUCUCAGGGCUUUCUGAACUGCUUGGCAUACUGGUUCAUUCAACAGAGACUACAAUGCUUAAAUAAGAACAGCAGUCAUGAUAUGGGAACACAAACGCCACUGCUGAGCUCACAAAAGAGGCAGUAUGCCAGUACACAAAUUGCCACCAAUUGUGCACUACGACAGGACAAGUCCUCAUUCUGAUCAUGUCAAGACCCAUCAAGAACUUCUUCAAGCACUCAAACUGAAUUGUGUAAAAUCUGUGGGACACUCCGAUUCUGGAAUUUGGAACACUAAUUGUCAACAUGUUUGAAAAGGAAAAAAACAAAAACGUUUUCCUUUGUUUUUUUUUUUGCCAAUGAAGUCACUUCGUUUAGGAUGCUAUGUGGAAUUUCUUAUGUGAGAUUUUGAAUGAGACUUGAGAUGAGAUGCUAUAGACACUAGACGAUAUAGUCUUCCUUGUUCAAUUAUAAUUUUUUUUUUUUUGAAGGGUGACCCACCAAUAAUGGGAUUUUACAUUAUUUUGCAGAAAGGGAAGACACCACAUCGCGUAUAUAAUUUAUAUUUAUUAAAAUAAAUGUGGAUAAUGCUUUCUAAUUUAAAGGGCUCAACUACUGAGUCAUUUUCGAACCCUAGACAAUCAUAUGGUGGUGCCAGCUUAUUUAUUUUUAGAGAAGGAGCUCCAGAAAUUGGAGAAAAUAGACAAGGGCGGAGGAAACUGAAGUGGAAAUAGCAACUAUUGUGGUGAAGAAGAUGAGGAUUUCUUGCAAUGUGGAAGAAAACUGUGAGUGAAGAGGACUGAAAUGCAGGAUGUGCAUUAAUUACUAGUCUUGUGCACAAUGGAAAAAGUUAGUUUGACCAAAUAAAUUUGCUCGAAAAAUUUUUUGUGCUAGUGGACUGAAAUGUGUCCUUGUGGCAUUUUGGUUUGAAUGAAUUUUAUUUAUGCAGUUGUUUUGUGAAAAAUGUUGUGAAAAAUGUGCCAAUCAGUGUAUUGCAAAAUUUAGACUUAACAUAACAUUAGGUAUAUAUUUUGGUGGGCGCAUUUUCCCACCACUUUGUUUACAGGUAAAGCGAGAAGUAAUAGCUAAAAGAAGGGGGGAGCAGUGAAAAAAACAACUAUAUUUUUCUUUAUUUUCCCCCUUUAUCAGUCACUUAUCACUUGAUCUGUGAAUAAAAACAUUUAGUGGCGGUGCCCAUCCAAAACUCAUCUUUUUUUCUCCAUCAUUUACAUUUUGUUUGGCGCCACGGGCAGAACUCAGAAUUACGAAUCACAGGAAAUUUUCCGUCGAUUGACCAAAACUUGGCCAAAUUUAAAUUUGCUUAAUGGAUACUUGCAUUGGGAGUCAAAGUGAUUUCAAGGUGAAUUAAAAUGUUAUUAAGGCUUAUAUAGGUGAACUAAAAACACGCAUGACUUGGAGAGUUGUUAUGCCAUUUUUGCUAUAGUUUUAAUUCCUAACAGUUUACAAUUUAGUGAAUAAGUCUGUAGUCGAGGAAAGAGUUGUUGAUAAUGGGUCUGGAUUAGUUUCAUUACCCGAUUUUUUUUUUUUCUUUUAUUUUUUUUUUCAGAGUUCUCUAUUGGGAUGAAAAAGGUUUGCAUUCACUGACCUCAGUGUUUGUAUAGCUAGCUUGAUGCCUCUUUGUAUAGGGGCCAUUUAAAGAUUGUGUGCAGGGGUCACUUUAAAAAAAACAUUUGUUGUCAUGCAUAUGUUCUGUUCUUUUGUAUUUUUUAUGAACUGGAACUUUUUAAUUAGAUAAUAAAAACCGGCCAUUUUGUCAGUUUAAACUGACACACUAUAUUUAAAGAGCUGAUCUACACGUGAUUAUUAUAACCGCAUUAAAGGACAACUACUCUCCUUUUUUACUCAUCACUUUGUUGUUGUUUUCAGAAUUAGCAUCUGUUAAAGAUCAGGGGUUUUAGCAGAAAUGUGUGGGAAAUACAGACCAGCUGUAAAAAAAUGAUAGCACUUACAAUGUGUGUGAUUUAUAGUCCUAUACUGAAUGAAAAAUUAAAACCAAAACAACAUACUUUCACUCCUAAAGAGUAGCAGCAUUGUAAUACCAAAUUAACAGAGUGUGUGUGUUUUUUUUUUAAAAUAUACUGGGGUAAUAUUAGUGCUCAUUUAAUACAACUAACCAUUUCAUAGAGUUAUAAACCAGUGCUGUAGAAGCAGUCACCUAGGGCCCACUAAUGCGCACACAUAGCUGAUGGCUUGACAAAGAUACUUUACAUGUCAAAACGUUGCCUAUUCCUGUUUGAUGGCUGAAUAAAUUACCAUUAUCUCAACCAACUGAGUGCUAAAGAUUUUUUUCAAUUUUAUGCAAGUGAAC